UUUAGACUUAAGAGCUAUUCAAAUAAGGCACAGCUUAUUUGAAAUAGGACACAACCUACAACAUAGGGUAAAUGAGAGUGACCUGAAUAAAGUGGGCCUAAAAGCAGCCACCUUCAGAAAAGCGUUAAAGCUUAACUACCUUCACUCAUAAUGCCUAAAAUCUCCACUAACCCUUCAUUACUACUGAACAAUUUUAUACUCAUAUAAAAGCUAUCAUGCUAGAACUAGUAACAAGAAACUGCUUUUCUCCUAAAUGUAAACAUAAACCAAAAUAGACCAUCUAUUGGUUAUUAACGUAAAUGCUAAACUGUAGCAACACUCACUAGAAAAUCCUAUAAACCCCAACGUUAACCUUACACCAGAACAUUACAGGAAAGAUUAAAAGAAAAAGAAGGAACUCGGCAAAUUUUAGCCUCGCCUGUUUACCAAAAACAUCGCCUCUUGACAAACAUAAGAGGUCCAGCCUGCCCAGUGACAAAGUUCAACGGCCGCGGUACCCUAACCGUGCAAAGGUAGCACAAUCACUUGUUCUUUAAAUGAGGACUCGUAUCAACGGCACUACGAGGGCUAUACUGUCUCCUUUUUCUAAUCAGUGAAACUGAUCUCCCCGUGAAGAAGCGGGGAUUGUAAUAUAAGACGAGAAGACCCCAUGGAGCUUUAAACUCACCAUGUACCCCUGUGCUCCCAUACCCCCAGACACAACAGACCUACAUGUUAGUUUUAGGUUGGGGUGACCACGGAGUAUAACUUAACCUCCAUAGCAAAUGGGCUAAUACCCUUAUCCACGAGACACAACUCUAAGAAUUACUAAACUAAUGCUUACGACCCGAUAUUCGAUCCAUGAACCAAGUUACCCUGGGGAUAACAGCGCAAUCUACUUCAAGAGCCCAUAUCGACAAGUAGGUUUACGACCUCGAUGUUGGAUCAGGGUAUCCCGGUGGUGCAGCCG
Molecule: ribosomal RNA, 949 nt
Filed under: Rana taihangensis
Lineage: Eukaryota; Metazoa; Chordata; Amphibia; Anura; Ranidae
Description: partial 16S ribosomal RNA
Rfam family: Bacterial large subunit ribosomal RNA
Source: RNAcentral